GUAGGCAGCAAGCGUUGUUCGGAGUUACUGGGCGUAAAGGGUGUGUAGGCGGCCUGUUAAGUUCCGUGUGAAAUCUCCCGGCUCAACCGGGAGGGUGCGCGGAAUACUGACGGGCUAGAGUGCGGGAUGGGAGAGUAGAAUUCCUGGUGUAGCGGUGAAAUGCGUAGAUAUCAGGAGGAAUACCGGUGGUGUAGACGGCUCUCUGGACCGUAACUGACGCUGAGACACGAAAGCGUGGGUAGCAAACAGGAUUAGAUACCCUGGUAGUCCACGCCCUAAACGAUGCAUAUUUGGUGUAGGUCAUUCAGUUGAUCUGUGCCGGAGCUAACGCGUUAAAUAUGCCGCCUGGGGAGUACAGUCGCAAGGCUG
This 369-nucleotide ribosomal RNA is filed under the name uncultured bacterium. Its description in RNAcentral is "bacterial SSU rRNA". It matches the Rfam family "Bacterial small subunit ribosomal RNA", at positions 527 to 896 of the family's 1533-position model. The record is from RNAcentral.